RNAcentral lists this ribosomal RNA (835 nucleotides) under metagenome. RNAcentral describes it as "bacterial SSU rRNA". It matches the Rfam family "Bacterial small subunit ribosomal RNA", at positions 70 to 942 of the family's 1533-position model. The record is from RNAcentral.
AUGUUAAUGCUUGCAUUAAUUUAUUAGUGGCAGACGGGUGAGUAAUACAUGGGAAUUUACCUUGCAGUACGGAAUAACUGCUGGAAACGGCAGCUAAUACCGUAUAUUGCUGAAAAGUGAAAGAUUUAUCGCUGCAAGAUAAGCCCAUGCAAGAUUAGCUUGUUGGUGAGGUAAUGGCUCACCAAGGCAACGAUCUUUAGCUGGUUCGAGAGGAUGAACAGCCACACUGGAACUUAGACACGGUCCAGACUCCUACGGGAGGCAGCAGUGAGGAAUAUUGGACAAUGGGCGAAAGCCUGAUCCAGCGACGCCACGUGAAUGAUGAAGGCCUUAGGGUUGUAAAGUUCUUUUAGUGGAGAAGAUAAUGACGGUAUCCACAGAAAAAGUCCCGGCUAACUUCGUGCCAGCAGCCGCGGUAAUACGAAGGGGGCAAGCGUUAUUCGGAAUUAUUGGGCGUAAAGCGUGCGUAGGCUGCCUAGCGUGUUGUUAGUGAAAUCCUAUGGCUCAACCAUAGAACUGCUAACAAAACUGCUAGGCUUGAGUGUCAGAGAGGGCAGAAGAAUUCCUGGUGUAGGGGUGGAAUCCGUAGAUAUCAGGAGGAAGACCAAAAGCGUAAGCAUCUGUCUGGCUGAAUACUGACGCUGAGGUACGAAAGCGUGGGGAGCAAACAGGAUUAGAUACCCUGGUAGUCCACGCAGUAAACGAUGAGUGCUAGGUGCUAGAACUUAAGUUUUAGUGUCGAAGCUAACGCGUUAAGCACUCCGCCUGGGUAGUACGGUCGCAAGAUUAAAACUCAAAGGAAUUGACGGGGACCCGCACAAGCGGUGGAACAUGU